Molecule: ribosomal RNA, 756 nt
Filed under: uncultured bacterium
Lineage: Bacteria
Description: bacterial SSU rRNA
Rfam family: Bacterial small subunit ribosomal RNA
Source: RNAcentral
GCAGUGCGGCCGCCUACACAUGCAGUCGAACGAAGUAGCAAUACUUAGUGGCAGACGGGUGAGUAACAUGUAGGUAUCUGCCCUUUGGCCUGGAAUAACACGAGGAAACUUGUGCUAAUACCGGAUAAGUCUUUACGGAGAAAGCUUUAUGCACCAUUGGAUGAGCCUGCACUUGAUUAGUUUGUUGGUGGGGUAAUGGCCUACCAAGACUUUGAUCAAUAGCUGAUUUGAGAGGAUGAUCAGCCACAUUGGGACUGAGACACGGCCCAAACUCCUACGGGAGGCAGCAGUGGGGAAUCUUGCACAAUGGAGGAAACUCUGAUGCAGCGAUGCCGCGUGAGUGAAGAAGGCCUUUGGGUUGUAAAGCUCUUUCGUCGGGGAAGAAAAUGACUGUACCCGAAUAAGAAGGUCCGGCUAACUUCGUGCCAGCAGCCGCGGUAAUACGAAGGGACCUAGCGUAGUUCGGAAUUACUGGGCUUAAAGAGUUCGUAGGUGGUUGAAAAAGUUGGUGGUGAAAUCCCAGAGCUUAACUCUGGAACUGCCAUCAAAACUUUUCAGCUAGAGUUUGAUAGAGGAAAGCAGAAUUUCUAGUGUAGAGGUGAAAUUCGUAGAUAUCGGAAGGAACACCAAUAUGGCGAAGGCACUGUACUGGGCUUUACCUGACGCUAAGAGACGAAAGCUAAAGGAGUGAUUAGGAUUAGAUACCCUAGUAAUUUUAGCCGUAAACGAUGGAAACUCACUGCCGAGCCGGUAUUC